Molecule: long non-coding RNA, 2324 nt
Filed under: Pan troglodytes (chimpanzee)
Lineage: Eukaryota; Metazoa; Chordata; Mammalia; Primates; Hominidae
Description: long non-coding RNA NONPTRT002532
Source: RNAcentral
GGAGAAUGAAGGAACAAAGUGGGUCAUGCUUUGUUUUAUUCUUGAACCUUUAGUCCCAUGUAUGAAUCCUGAGUGUUACCCUCCUGAAUGCUGUGCACUACAGAAUGAACUUUAGUUCACAGUAAAUGAGGGAUGCUUUUUCUUAAGAAAUAAAUUUAAUUCAAGGUGGUUAGUGAAUGUGAGGCAAUGUAAUGCCUUCACGAAAGUUAAAGUAAUCCAGUUACAAAAGAAGCACUGUGUAUAGUCUCAAAUAGCUGAAGGUACAAUGGGCUCCAUAUUUUACAAAGUACAAAAAAUUAUUUCAUAUACAAAGAAAAAUACAAAUAAUGUGCAAAAACCAUUUUCACAGGUGGCAAUUUAUAAAAUGGAAAUGAUAGAAAAGUCCUUCAUUCUUAAUUAUCCCCGAAUUUCUUAUAUAUUAACACAGUUCUAUUUCCUAGUGUGUAGACAAUUUUAAAUUUGAAAUUCUGAUUUAUUUUUAAUCUACAAAGUAUUUUUAUUUUUUAAAAGGGAACCAUUUCAUUAUUGAAAUCUUAUGAAUGCAUCAGUUAAUUUAUAUUAAAUUAUAAGCAGGCUAUCUGAAAAACAAGGAUAUAGAAAUCAUAUAUACACAUUUUUGAAAUAUUAGUUUAGUAUUUAACAUAUUAACAUUUCAAAACAAAUGCAAUGAUCUAGCUACCUAUGACGCCAGCUGGUGUCAGUGGUUGUAGCGAAGAUGCUGUUUCUGUUUGUUUACCAUGAGCAAACAGCAUUUCUUGGGUCUUAAGCUAAACAAUCACAAGUUAUCAAAGUAAAGAAAAUCUAAAGACAGUUCUUACUUUUCAUGUGUAGAAGUGUAGUUUGGGUAUCCAGUCAUGCCACAGUGUGACUGUGGUCAACACAGCCCUUGUCACAGGUGCGUAUGGUCCUAAAUAGCUGGCCUCUGUCUUUCCAACAUCUUCACUUCAUUGGGAAUUCAGUGCAAGUGUUUGUUUUGUGAGUUAGUGCAUUCAGCUUUUUUUGCAUGUUAUUUUGAAAAAGAAACUGUCAGGAAGCAGAAGAUACAUAAGAACACAAGGCUCUGGAUCCUCAGAGCACCUCUGGUCUAGAGAAUUCAGUGUUUUGGAAGUAGUGUUUUCCUGCAUUGGGCUGGUCAUUGUUGUACCAUUCCCUGGAUAAUCUUUUUCCAUCAGAAUAAUGCUGUGUGCUCCCUCUUUGCCUGCUACUGAACAAUGACGUCUCUUGUUGUGAACCCCACUGGCAGAGCACGGACCAUGGAAGCAUCUUUUGGCAGCACCAGAGAACUGAGCAUCUCAAAGGUCAGGCAUUACAAGUAGAUGUCUCUCAUAGGAAACCUAAUCCAGGUAGAAUAUGAGACAAUCUUGGAGGGUUUUGAUUUUUGCUUGUUAAACAGGUCUCCAAGGAAAUUAUGACCUCAGAGAACAAAAAAGGAUCUAUAGCUUUCAUGAAGAAGGACGCAAGUAGGUGGUAGCCAUUUUGCCUGGGUGAGGUUCACAGUUGGCUCAGGAGACAUCUUCUGAUCAUUAACCACUAAGACCCUGUUAGAAAAAUUUAGUGCAAGAUACAGGGAGUGCAUGGGGCUGUUGACCAGACCUGUGUGAAACACCUGUUCAGGUUAAGUAGAUAUAGCAACCCCUGCAAGAGGGGACUGGGCAGGAGAACCUCAGGCCCCGGGAUAACUUGUUGUCAGCUCCUCAAGGAUCCAUGCUUCUUUUUCUAUCUGGCAGCAUGAGUUCUUCUGUUUCUUCUGCGUGGGUUGACCAUGGGCAUCAGGCAUCAGAGAUACAACUCUGGAUUUUGUCCAUCCAUUGCUGGGCACUCUGUCCAUCCUGGGCGCAGAAGUUAUACACACGUUUGCUGGUCUUGAGCUACAAAACCAAAUGACAGUGAACCAGAGAUGAAAGGCAGGGCUGUUUUAUGGAUUUGGGCAUGGUAUGAGCAGGGCUAAGUGGAAAAAACUGUAUCUUUCAUGUUAAAGAAGUCCAGAAGACUGACCUCUGGGGAAAGACUGCUGCUUUCUGCUGGGAUUACCACAUCUGUGAGGCUUGGAAUGAUCAGUAGCCAUCCUUUGUGCCAUGUUGGGACUGACAUAACACAGAGAGAGGGCAAAGCAGAGCCGGGAAGUGGAUAGAAGAUACUGUGUGAGAAGCUAGCAUACCCUUGGCUGUCCUAGCUUAUGUGAGUAAAUUCCUUUUUGCUUCAGCUAGCAUAAGCUGGAUUUCUGAUGUUUGCCACUGACAAAGUGCUGGCUAACACAUAUUCCCUCAAACGUUCUGGCAGACAGGAGAUAAGAGCCAUCAGGACUCAACUACAAAUAACUACAA